CCAGACUCCUACGGGAGGCAGCAGUGGGGAAUAUUGCGCAAUGGGCGAAAGCCUGACGCAGCGACGCCGCGUGAGGGAUGAAGGUCUUCGGAUCGUAAACCUCUGUCAGCAGGGAAGAACGGUCACUGUGCUAAUCAGCAGUGAAUUGACGGUACCUGCAAAGGAAGCACCGGCUAACUACGUGCCAGCAGCCGCGGUAAUACGUAGGGGGCAAGCGUUUUCCGGAUUUACUGGGUGUAAAGGGAGCGUAGACGGCAGUGCAAGUCCGGAUGGAAAGCCCGGGGCCCAACCCUGGGCCUGCUCUGGAAACUGCGGCGCUGGGGUACGGGAGGGGCAGGCGGAAUUCCUG
Molecule: ribosomal RNA, 349 nt
Filed under: uncultured bacterium
Lineage: Bacteria
Description: partial 16S ribosomal RNA
Rfam family: Bacterial small subunit ribosomal RNA
Source: RNAcentral